UGGGGAAUAUUGGACAAUGGGCGCAAGCCUGAUCCAGCCAUGCCGCGUGAGUGACGAAGGUCUUCGGAUUGUAAAGCUCUUUUAGCAGGGAAGAUAAUGACGGUACCUGCAGAAUAAGCCCCGGCUAACUUCGUGCCAGCAGCCGCGGUAAUACGAAGGGGGCUAGCGUUGUUCGGAAUUACUGGGCGUAAAGCGCACGUAGGCGGAUUGAUAAGUUAGAGGUGAAAUCCCGGGGCUCAACCUCGGAACUGCCUUUGAUACUGUUAGUCUCGAGUCCGAUAGAGGUGAGUGGAAUUCCUAGUGUAGAGGUGAAAUUCGUAGAUAUUAGGAAGAACACCAGUGGCGAAGGCGGCUCACUGGAUCGGUACUGACGCUGAGGUGCGAAAGCGUGGGAAGCAAACAGGAUUAGAUACCCCAGUAGUCCCUGAGCGGGCUGGCAAGGCGCAU
This 447-nucleotide ribosomal RNA is filed under the name uncultured bacterium. Its description in RNAcentral is "bacterial SSU rRNA". It matches the Rfam family "Bacterial small subunit ribosomal RNA", at positions 355 to 825 of the family's 1533-position model. The record is from RNAcentral.